This 428-nucleotide ribosomal RNA is filed under the name uncultured bacterium. RNAcentral's name for it is "partial 16S ribosomal RNA". It matches the Rfam family "Bacterial small subunit ribosomal RNA", at positions 354 to 796 of the family's 1533-position model. The record is from RNAcentral.
GUGGGGAAUAUUGGGCAAUGGGCGCAAGCCUGACCCAGCAACGCCGCGUGAAGGAAGAAGGCUUUCGGGUUGUAAACUUCUUUUACCAGGGACGAAACAAAUGACGGUACCUGGUGAAUAAGCCACGGCUAACUACGUGCCAGCAGCCGCGGUAAUACGUAGGUGGCGAGCGUUAUCCGGAGUUAUUGGGUGUAAAGGGCGUGUAGGCGGGACAGCAAGUCAGAUGUGAAAACCAGAGGCUCAACCUCUGGCCUGCAUUUGAAACUGUUGUUCUUGAGUGUCGGAGAGGUAAUCGGAAUUCCGUGUGUAGCGGUGAAAUGCGUAGAUAUACGGAGGAACACCAGUGGCGAAGGCGGAUUACUGGACGAUAACUGACGCUGAGGCGCGAAAGCGUGGGGAGCAAACAGGAUUAGAAACCCCGGUAGUCC